GACGAACGCUGGCGGCGUGCUUAACACAUGCAAGUCGAACGGAAAGGCCCUGCUUUUGUGGGGUGCUCGAGUGGCGAACGGGUGAGUAACACGUGAGUAACCUGCCCUUGACUUUGGGAUAACUUCAGGAAACUGGGGCUAAUACCGGAUAGGAGCUCCUGCUGCAUGGUGGGGGUGGGAAAGUUUCGGCGGUUGGGGAUGGACUCGCGGCUUAUCAGCUUGUUGGUGGGGUAGUGGCUUACCAAGGCUUUGACGGGUAGCCGGCCUGAGAGGGUGACCGGCCACAUUGGGACUGAGAUACGGCCCAGACUCCUACGGGAGGCAGCAGUGGGGAAUAUUGCACAAUGGGCGGAAGCCUGAUGCAGCAACGCCGCGUGCGGGAUGACGGCCUUCGGGUUGUAAUCCGCUUUCGCCUGUGACGAAGCGUGAGUGACGGUAAUGGGUAAAGAAGCACCGGCUAACUACGUG
This 468-nucleotide ribosomal RNA is filed under the name uncultured bacterium. RNAcentral describes it as "partial 16S ribosomal RNA". It matches the Rfam family "Bacterial small subunit ribosomal RNA", at positions 28 to 507 of the family's 1533-position model. The record is from RNAcentral.